UACGAAGGGGGGCUAGCGUUGCUCGGAAUGACUGGGCGUAAAGGGCGCGUAGGCGGAUGGCACAGUCAGAUGUGAAAUUCCCGGGCUUAACCUGGGGGGCUGCAUUUGAUACGUGUUGUCUAGAGUGAGGAAGAGGGUUGUGGAAUUCCCAGUGUAGAGGUGAAUUCGUAGAUAUUGGGAAGAACACCGGUGGCGAAGGCGGCAACCUGGUCCUUGACUGACGCUGAGGCGCGA
RNAcentral lists this ribosomal RNA (234 nucleotides) under uncultured bacterium. RNAcentral's name for it is "partial 16S ribosomal RNA". It matches the Rfam family "Bacterial small subunit ribosomal RNA", at positions 524 to 756 of the family's 1533-position model. The record is from RNAcentral.